AAAAUCAGGAAGAGUUAGAGCAUAGUCUAAAUCCGAGAACGUGUUGUACGAGUGUCCAUGGAAAUCAAAUAAACGUGGUGUUGUGCGAGUGGACCGCAGUUAGAGCGACCGGGUGUUGAUACGUCGAAUUUGUGGGGAUAAGGCGGCUCAUUCAGCGUCAAUAAUAGGAUUCGGCGGGAUAAGGGCGGCCACUUCAACGGCAAUGGUGUUCGUUCUUCAUUUAGAAAUUUAGUGUCCCAUUGUGGGCAACGCAAUUUUGUUCUGAGAACAUAUUGAGCGUGUUCAAUGAUGAAGUUGGAGGGACAAGUGAUGAAGGUUAAGGCGCCUAUUACAGUAGACGACAUCCUCAAAGAUUAUCCAGGUUAUGUCAUUUUUUCACUGGGUUGUCGUUCAUCGUUUGGGAUAAGAGCCAAACCUAAUGUAGAUCUGCUCUACCUAUUUCAAUGAAAGAAGUGCGGAGAAGAAUGUGUUUUGGCUCUUAAUUUUUCUACAGAUGAUUCAGACAAAUUUGCAAUCGUGGAGAGAGUGUUUGAAACCGACCAUUUCUUUAAACUGAUUGAAGCUAUUUAUAAGUAUACCCCAUUUGAUUCAAUUAAUUUAUUAUAUAUCUAUCAGUGACCAUAUCACCACCAAGGGAGGGUAUUUGAGGUGGUGGUUCCCUCACUGUCGUGGGGGCUGCAAUGGGAAGUAUAGAUUUAUCAUGCUAAGUUGAUUUAAGGAUGGCUGGUUCCAAACACUCUCUGCACGAUUGUGAAUUUGUCUGGAUCAUCUGGAGGAAAAUUGGGAUGCAUGAUACUUUCUUCUGUGUAUUUCUUGCAUUGUAGUAGGCCGGGCGGAUACUAUUUUUCUCUUUUCCAACAAAAAAGACUCAAAACGCGUGAAACAGUGGAAAGAACCCUGCAUUCAGAUCUCAGCUGUGCGAAAUCCCAGCGGAUGAAAGGAGAAAGGUAAAGGAAGACCCGGAGGUACAGAAAUACAAAUUGCCGUGGAAUCCUUGCGUAGGAGCAUUUCUGAAAUUCGCAGAAAAGUUCAGGGGCUGCAGAUCAGAGUCCCCGCCUGAACACUGACACAAUGCAGAGCUAAUAGUUAAAGAAGAUUUCUCCAAGUCAAAGUUUUGGCUUGUGAAUUACAUAAUCACAUAAGUUUUCUGAUAUGAGCCAUCCUGGGCAUUGCUAUAGUUCAUGUAUUGAUAGAUAAAAUACUGUAGAGUUCCUACCUGUCAUAUUUUCCAAUUUUAAUAUCUGAGAGAUGUGUUAAAACAGAUACAGAUGAAUAGUAUGGGACAACAUUCAUUUCUUGAUGAACCUAGGACAAUUUUUAUUACAUUGUUGGCUGCGAGCUCAACGCUAAAAUUACUCUCCUUUGCACUAUUUCAAAAGUGUUAUAUUUUAGUUUACCCAAUAUCUGUUGGAGUUAUGUUCUUUAUUGCCUCACUGCCUUAUCUUGUCUUAUUUGGUUUACUGACAAUAUCUACAUCAGAACAGAUUUAGGUGGCGCUCAGCUUGUUGUAUUUUGCUGUGUACUGCAAGAUUGAACCGCCUCAUUACAACUAUGAAUAAGUGUAUUGGGGCUUUAAUGCGGUGUAUGUAAUCCAACUCAUAUAUGAGAUAUUAGGAGAACUCUGCAGAGUCCCUAAAUCAAUGCAUUUGUAUUUUGAUCAAUAGAUAUAAUUCUGCAGUAGCAGAUUUGAUA
Molecule: long non-coding RNA, 1692 nt
Organism: Cryptomeria japonica (Japanese cedar)
Lineage: Eukaryota; Viridiplantae; Streptophyta; Pinopsida; Cupressales; Cupressaceae
Exons: 2
Source: RefSeq, a predicted model, not a curated record